Long non-coding RNA from Sarcophilus harrisii (Tasmanian devil), 2132 nucleotides. The record is from Ensembl. Lineage: Eukaryota; Metazoa; Chordata; Mammalia; Dasyuromorphia; Dasyuridae.
AAUUUUGGGAUCUGGGUAUACAUUAGGUGCUGUAUAGAUGUUAGCUAUUAGAAUUCUGGGGUCUGGGCCUACAAUAGGUGCUGUAUAGAUGCUACCUACUAGAAUUCUGUGGUCUGGGCAUACAUUAGGUGCUGUAUAGUUGGUAGCUAUUCGAAUACUUGUAGUCUAGGCAUACGGUAGGUGCUGUAUAGAUGAUGCCUAUUUGAAUUCUGUGGCCUGGGCAUACAUUAGGUGCUAUACAGAUGCAAGCUAUUAGAAUUCUUUGGUCUUGGUAUACAUUAGGUGCUGUAUAGAUUCUAGCUACUAGAAUUCUGUGGUCUGGGCAUACAUUAGGUGCAUUAUACAUGUUAGCUAUUAGAAUUCUGGGGUCUGGAUCUACGAUAGGUGUUCUAUAUAUCCUAACUACUAGAAUUUUGGCAUCUGGGCGUACAAUAGGUAUUGUAUAGAUGCUACCUACUAGAAUUCUGUGGUCUGGGCAUACAUUACAUGCUGUAAAGAUGCUACCUAUUAGAAUUUUGGUUUCUGGGCCUACGGUAGGUGCUUUAUCGAUGCUAGCUAUUUGACUUCUGGGGUCUGCGAAUACAUUAGGUGCUGUAUAGAUGCUAGCUAUUAGAAUUCUGGGGUCUGGGCCUACAAUAGAUGCUGUAUAGAUGCUACCAAUUAGAAUUCUGCGGUCUGUCCAUACAUUAGGUGCUGUAUAGAUGCUACCUAUUAGAAUUCUGUGGUCUGGGUAUACAUUAGGUGCUGUAUAGGUUACCUAUUAGAAUCCUUGCGUCUGGGCAUCCAUUAGGUGUUUUAUAGAUGCUAGCUAUUAGAAUUCUGGGGUCUAGGCCUACAAUAUGAGAGUAUAGGUGCUACCUACUUGAAUUCUGUGGUCUGGGCAUACAUUAGGUGGUAUAUAGAUGCUACCUAUUAGAAUUAAGGGGUCUGGGCUUACAUUAGGUGCUUUAUACAUGUUAGCUAUUAGAAUUCUGGGAUCUGGACCUACGAUACGUGCUCUAUAUAUCCUACCUACUAGAAUUUUGGGGUCUGGGCAUACAUUAGGUGCUGUAUAGAUACUAACUAUUAGAAUUUUGUGUUCUGGGCAAACAUUAGGUGCUAUAUAGAUACUACCUAUUAGAAUUCUGGGGCCUGGGCAUACUUAGGUGCUGCAUAGAUGUUUGCUAUUAGAAUUCUGGGGUCUGGGCCUACAAUAGAUGCUGUAUAGAUGCUACCUACUAGAAUUCUAUUGUCUGGGUAUACAUUAGGUGCUGUAUAGAUGCUAGCUAUUAGAAUUCUGGGGUCUGGGCCCACAAUAGGUUCUCUAUAGAUGCUACCUAAUUGAAUUCUGUGGUCUGGGUAUACAUUAGGUUCUGUCUAGAUGCUAGCUAUUAAAAUUCUGGGGUCUGGGCCUAGUGCUACCUAUUAGAAUUCUGCAGCCUGGGCAUACAUUAGGUGUUAUAUAGAUGUUAACUAUUACAAUUCUGGUAUCCUGGCCUACAUUUGGAGAUGUAUAGAUGCUACCUACUAGAAUUGUGUGGUCUGGGCAUACAUUAAUUGCUGUAUAGAUGCUACCUAUUCGAAUUCUAGUUUCUGGGACUACGGUAGUUGCUGUAUAGAUGCUAGCUAUUAGACUUCUGGGGUCUGGGUCUACGUUAGCUGCUCCAUAGAUCCUAACUAUUAGCAUUAUGGGCUCUGGGCCUACGUUAGGUGCAGGAAAGUUGCGAUCUACUAGAAUUUUGGGAUCUGGUAUACAUUAGGUGCUGUAUAGAUGCUACCUAUUAGAAUUCUGGGGUCUGGGCGUAUAGUAGGUGCUGUAUAGAUGCUACCUACUAGAAUUCUGUGGUCUGGGCCUACAUUAGGUGUAGGAAAGGUGCUACCUAUUAGAAUUCUGGUGUCUGGGCAUGCAUUAGGUGCUGUAUAGAUGUUAGCCAAUAGAAUUCUGGGGUCUAGGCCUACGAUAUGUGCUGUAUAGGUGCUACCUACUUGAAUUCUGUGGUCUGGGCAUACAUUAGGUGGUAUAUAGAUGCUACCUAUUAGAAUUAAGGGGUCUGGGCUUACAUUAGGUGCAUUAUACAUGUUAGCUAUUAGAAUUCUGGGGUCUGGAUCUACGAUAGGUGUUCUAUAUAUCCUAACUACUAGAAUUUUGGCAU